This is a non-coding RNA of Podarcis lilfordi (Lilford's wall lizard), 96 nucleotides long. The record is from the annotation of a GenBank genome assembly. Lineage: Eukaryota; Metazoa; Chordata; Lepidosauria; Squamata; Lacertidae.
CUACUUGCUUGUUCUUCCUCUUGCUUCAAACGUAGCUGAAAAAACCUUUUUUUUCCCCCAGCUACGUUUGAAGCAAGAGGAAGAACAAGCAAGUAC